Molecule: long non-coding RNA, 815 nt
Organism: Alligator mississippiensis (American alligator)
Lineage: Eukaryota; Metazoa; Chordata; Crocodylia; Alligatoridae
Exons: 2
Source: RefSeq, a predicted model, not a curated record
CGUUUCUGCCUUCAUUUCCUUUCUGGGAUUUGCAGUUCGGUGCAGGGUGGCAUGGAGAGGACAAUCUGGGACUGCCUGCUAGAGGCCCUGGAGGACCUUGAGGAGCAGAAAUUCAAGGAGUUCAUGUUCAAACUUGAUGACAUCCCGGUGAAGGAGGACUGCAGGAAUAUCCCCCGGGGCCAGCUGGAGAAGGCAGACCGCCUGGACCUCACGAACAUGCUGAUCGGUUUUUAUGGGCAGGACUACGCCAUGGAGGUGACCAUAGCUGUGCUGGAGGCCAUCAACAGGAAGGAUCUGGCCUUCAGACUCUGACGGGCAGCCUUUCAUUGACCGCUUCCAGGCCCAGUGAAUCCAGCAGAUCGUGGCGGUGGAAGGCAUCCUGGGCCUGCUCUAUGGAGAAGUCCUGACCACCAAGCAGUGAGUACAAUACACGUCAGGAACAGGUGCGCCCCCUGUACGAGCUGAUGCUGGGCUGGGACCGGCGGUGCAAAGUCUGCCUCUACAAGGUGCUGCGGGCAGGAACAAGUGUCUCAUCUGGGAGCUGGAGAGGACCUAAAGAGAGGAAGUUGUAUGUAUCAGUGGCGCUGCCGGAGAAGGCCUGGACAUGACCCACAUCUCUCCUAAUGAGCUGCCCCUGAACUUUGCUCCUCUUCUGGUUCUCUCUUGCUCCCCUCAGCUCUGGCCCUGCCUCAUGUUGGUCUAGUUACCCUUGCUGAACCUCAUGAGACCAAAAUAGCCCUUACAGGGCGCCUGUACACACCACGGGUUUUAAUCCUUAUUAAAUUUAGUAGGCUUAUAAAAUGUAAACGUGUUUA